This is a non-coding RNA of Hydra vulgaris (swiftwater hydra), 1224 nucleotides long. Lineage: Eukaryota; Metazoa; Cnidaria; Hydrozoa; Anthoathecata; Hydridae. The record is from RefSeq and is a predicted model, not a curated record.
UAAGUUGAAGCGUAAAGUGAAGAUUUGUGGAAACGUUUAUUAUGCGGAUAUUGUUGUGGAUGUAGAAGAACAAAAAAAAGUUUUUGAUGCAGAGCAUAACAGUCCUUUAGGGGGCCAUGGUGGCACUAACAAAACAAUUAUGAAAAUGCUGGAAAAAUAUUAUUGGCCUAAUAUUACCGGAGAUAUUAAAAAAUGGAUAAAACAAUGCCUUCGACGUCAAACUUCGGGUCAACUGCUUUCAGUAUCCGAACCUUUGCAUUCCAUAAAGACAACAAGAGUAUGGGAAAUUAUUGGUAUAGACUUUGCUGGCCCAUUUAUUGAAACAUCAAAGGUUAACAAAUACUUCAUGAGUUGUACUGAUUUAUAUUCUAAAUGGCAUUAUUUUCUAUAGCAUACGCUUUACCCAAUAAGGAAGUAAUAACAGUAGCAAGAGCAAUAAUAAAACUCGUGACAUCCUUUGGAUUUCCAUCUGUUAUUCUUACUGACAAUGGAACUGACUUUUGCAAUGAGAACAUUGAAGAAUUAAAACAAAAAAAGUACUAUGAUAAAAGAGUUUCGAAAAAUAUCAAAUGUAACAAAGAAAAUAAUAAUAUUGGAGACAAAAUUUUACUUCUUAAUAUUAGAGGAAAAAGAAGCGUAGGAGCAGCUUUUAAGCCACGGUUUGAAGGGCCUUAAGCAGUAAGUUGUAUUACAAAAAGUGAAAAUUUCAAACUGAGUAGAGGAAAAGUUACACUACUGAAGUAUAAGUUUUCGAAUAGCUAAUAUCAUUUUUAAUUCCAAGAAAAAAGUAGUUUUAUGAAAAUAAUUGCUAUAUAAUGAACUAUUUCUAAUUUAACCCUUGUAUACUCUACUUUAAAUACAAGUAUAACAAAAAACAAAGUAGAAAUUGAAAAAAAAAACAUUCAUCGGUGGAAAGCAUAAACGAUAAGGCAGAGACACCAAUAAAAAGCUUUGAAAUUAAAGAUAGUGAAGAGGUGGCAGAUACAAAAAAAAGUUUCGUAAUAAAAGAUGGUAAAAGUAGGAUUUAAAAAAUUACUUUUUCAUUUAUAAAUGUUAGCGUUUUAUUUUAAAGUAUCGCUUGUUUUUUAGAGAAGGCAGAGAAACCAAUCCCCUUUGUAGUUGAAUAUAGUGAAGAAGAGGCAGAUAAUCAGAUAAAAAGCUCGGUAGUUAAAGACAGUGAAGAGGUGGCAAGUAUUGCAUGUUUUUUAGAGAAGGCAGAGACAA